This 246-nucleotide ribosomal RNA is filed under the name Triticum aestivum (bread wheat). RNAcentral's name for it is "partial small subunit ribosomal RNA". Lineage: Eukaryota; Viridiplantae; Streptophyta; Magnoliopsida; Poales; Poaceae. The record is from RNAcentral.
AUGGCGGACGCCUACUCCUGGUCCUCCAAGCGGAGUUACAAGACCGACUACGUCUGGCACGACCUCACCACCGACGACCCCGUGCACCCCGCCAACGGCGUCGAGUACGUGCUCAAGGGCCCCAAGCUGCUCCACCUCCUCCAUGUACUUGAUUUUGCGCGACAUCUCCGCCGACGCAUCCUUGUCCUCCUUCACCUCCAGCUGCCAGGCCGGGAACGAGAAGAAGAUGCCUACAUCGGCCAUUAG